RNAcentral lists this long non-coding RNA (1965 nucleotides) under Cottoperca gobio. RNAcentral's name for it is "lncRNA (ENSCGOG00000011600.1)". Lineage: Eukaryota; Metazoa; Chordata; Actinopteri; Perciformes; Bovichtidae. The record is from RNAcentral.
UUGGACACUACAGUAAAAAUAAACAAUAACCCCACUUUAUUACUCCUACAUCACUCCUUUAUCACUCCUAUCUCACUCCUUUAUUACUCCUUUAUUACUCCUACAUCACUCCUUUAUUACUCCUACAUCACUCCUUUAUUACUCCUACAUCACUCCUUUAUCACUCCUACAUCACUCCUUUAUUACCUCCUACAUCACUCCUUUAUCACUCCUACAUCACUCCUUUAUUACUCCUUUAUCACUCCUACAUCACUCCUUUAUCACUCCUACAUUACUCCUUUAUUACUCCUACAUCACUCCUUUAUUACUCCUUACUCCUACAUCACUCCUUUAUUACUCCUACAUCACUCCUUUAUCACUCCUACAUCACUCCUUUAUUACUCCUACAUUACUCCUUUAUCACUCCUACAUCACUCCUUUAUUACUCCUACAUUAUUCCUUUAUUACUCCUUUAUUACUCCUACAUCACUCCUUUAUUACUCCUACAUCACUCCUUUAUUACUCCUACAUUAUUCCUUUAUUACUCCUACUUCACUCCUUUAUUACUCCUACAUUACUCCUUUAUUAUUCCUACAUCACUCCUUUAUUACUCCUACAUCACUCCUUUAUUACUCCUACAUUACUCCUUUAUUACUCCUACAUCACUCCUUUAUUAUUCCUACAUCACUCCUUUAUUACUCCUACAUUACUCCUUUAUUACUCCUACAUCACUCCUUUAUUAUUCCUACAUCACUCCUUUAUUACUCCAACACACACUCUUUAUUACUUCUGUUUUAUGACAGGAAGUUAAACUCAUAAUUCAUCUAAAAUAUAUUUUUUAUUGAAAACAUAUUCAAACAUCCUGAUUUAUUCAAGUUUCUCACCAAAAACUAAAUUGUACAAGUUUACAUUUGAACACAUCAUGAUAACGUUAUAAUUCACCUUCAACAAUACAAAUUUUUACUGAAUAGAGUCUGAACGCAUCAUAAUGUAACUCAGUGGAACCUCCGUUACUGUUAGCUAACAACCAACAGCUGACAGCUAAUGUUAGCUAGCUCUCCUACAGAUAUUACCACAUAUUUGUUGUUUACUAUGUAGCAUUAUCAGGGAAAACCGGGUCGACAGGAAGUUUACUGCGUCCUUUUGGAUUUUAACAAGUCAAUGGGACACUAUUAGUCUCGACCCCCUGGUACUUUCCGUAGAACAACGAGUACCGUCACAUUUUCUAUAUAUCGAACGGUAACUCCCUGUUUCGUGAUACGCAUCGUGUUUCCAGAUUCUUGCGAACACACAGCCCAAACCAUAACACUGCAGGGAAUAUAUGAGCAGAGAAUAACGUCAGGAUGUGAAAGUGACCUCCUGUGAGCCGGCAGUAACGCUGGGUUUGCCCUUGACUUGGCUGAAGGAUGGCCACCGGCACACACACACACACACACACAGUGAUGAGCUAGCUAUGAUUAGCAUCACGCCUGUAGCCGCUUUCCGCUGUAUUCUUGUACAUGAACCAUAUUCAGAGUAUCACCUCAUGAUGAGCUAACUGAUCAUUAUAACCUGCAGGUUCUUGGUUCGACCUUCAGCUAAGGUAUUCAUAUAACCUUCAAGAUAUUGAACAGUACGCAGACCAAACAGUUUUCUGAAUGCUGCACACAAUGCAAUGCAAGAAGAAAUUGAAGAGCAGCUGAAAAAACUUUAAACUUAUUGAGAAUUGUGACAGAACAGCUCUUAAAUCUUUGAAAACAAAUGUUUCUGUCCAUUUGUGAAGUUUAAAUGUAAAAGUAAAGUAUGUUAAUUUCUGCUAAGAUAAAUCGUUUUUUUUAAACAUACUGUGUACAGGUAGGAUCUUAGCAGCAGCGGUAAAGUGAGACACUUUAAAAUCUAAAUGUUGAAAUGUAAAAAUUACAAAUUCGACAGAUUUGACACGAGAAUUUCAACAAUUAAAAAAUGAGUACAAGACGCUGAAUCUCCUCUGCUCAGUGAAACUUUAAU